CAGCAGCCACGGUAAUACGUAGGUGGCAAGCGCUGUCCGGAAUUAUUGGGCGUAAAGGGCUCGCAGGCGGUUUCUUAAGUCUGAUGUGAAAGCCCCCGGCUCAACCGGGGAGGGUCAUUGGAAACUGGGAAACUUGAGUGCAGAAGAGGAGAGUGGAAUUCCACGUGUAGCGGUGAAAUGCGUAGAGAUGUGGAGGAACACCAGUGGCGAAGGCGACUCUCUGGUCUGUAACUGACGCUGAGGAGCGAAAGCGUGGGGAGCAAACAGGAUUAGAUACCCCAGUAGUCCCUGUCUCUUAUAC
RNAcentral lists this ribosomal RNA (301 nucleotides) under uncultured bacterium. RNAcentral describes it as "partial 16S ribosomal RNA". It matches the Rfam family "Bacterial small subunit ribosomal RNA", at positions 509 to 807 of the family's 1533-position model. The record is from RNAcentral.